UACGAAGGGGGCUAGCGUUGUUCGGAAUUACUGGGCGUAAAGGGCGCGCAGGCGGCCCUCCAAGUCAGGCGUGAAAGCCCCGGGCUCAACCCGGGAACAGCGCUUGAGACUGGGGGGCUUGAGUUCGGGAGAGGAGAGUGGAAUUCCCAGUGUAGAGGUGAAAUUCGUAGAUAUUGGGAAGAACACCGGUGGCGAAGGCGGCUCUCUGGCCCGCAACUGACGCUGAGGCGCGAAAGCGUGGGGAGCGAACCGG
RNAcentral lists this ribosomal RNA (253 nucleotides) under uncultured bacterium. RNAcentral describes it as "partial 16S ribosomal RNA". It matches the Rfam family "Bacterial small subunit ribosomal RNA", at positions 524 to 776 of the family's 1533-position model. The record is from RNAcentral.